Molecule: small RNA, 101 nt
Filed under: Pan troglodytes (chimpanzee)
Lineage: Eukaryota; Metazoa; Chordata; Mammalia; Primates; Hominidae
Description: processed transcript
Source: RNAcentral
CUGAGGAAAGGCAGCGAACACCAGGCGGUUGUGCAGCACUUGGAGAAGUCCUUUGCCAUUGCCUCCUUGGUAGAGACGGGCCACCUGGCAGCUUUCUCCCU